CGCGUAGGCGGCCUGCCAAGUCAGAUGUGAAAGCCCACGGCUCAACCGUGGAAGUGCAUCUGAAACUGGUAGGCUUGAGUACUGGAGAGGAGUGUGGAAUUCCUGGUGUAGAGGUGAAAUUCGUAGAUAUCAGGAGGAAUACCGGUGGCGAAGGCGACACUCUGGACAGAUACUGACGCUGAGGCGCGAAAGCGUGGGGAGCAAACA
RNAcentral lists this ribosomal RNA (207 nucleotides) under uncultured bacterium. Its description in RNAcentral is "partial 16S ribosomal RNA". It matches the Rfam family "Bacterial small subunit ribosomal RNA", at positions 568 to 774 of the family's 1533-position model. The record is from RNAcentral.